UGGGGAAUAUUGGACAAUGGGCGGAAGCCUGAUCCAGCAACGCCGCGUGAGGGAUGACGGCCUUCGGGUUGUAAAACCUCUUUCAGCACAGACGAAGCGCAAGUGACGGUAUGUGCAGAAGAAGGACCGGCCAACUACGUGCCAGCAGCCGCGGUAAUACGUAGGGUCCGAGCGUUGUCCGGAAUUAUUGGGCGUAAAGGGCUCGUAGGCGGUUUGUCGCGUCGGGAGUGAAAACACCGGGCUUAACUCGGUGCUUGCUUUCGAUACGGGCAGACUAGAGGUAUUCAGGGGAGAACGGAAUUCCUGGUGUAGCGGUGAAAUGCGCAGAUAUCAGGAGGAACACCGGUGGCGAAGGCGGUUCUCUGGGAAUAUCCUGACGCUGAGGAGCGAAAGUGUGGGGAGCGAACAGGAUUAGAUACCCUGGUAGUCCACACCGUAAACGUUGGGCGCUAGGUGUGGGGUCCAUUCCACGGAUUCCGUGCCGCAGCUAACGCAUUAAGCGCCCCGCCU
RNAcentral lists this ribosomal RNA (510 nucleotides) under uncultured bacterium. Its description in RNAcentral is "partial 16S ribosomal RNA". It matches the Rfam family "Bacterial small subunit ribosomal RNA", at positions 355 to 874 of the family's 1533-position model. The record is from RNAcentral.